UACGUAGGGCGCAAGCGUUAUCCGGAAUUAUUGGGCGUAAAGAGCUCGUAGGCGGUUUGUCGCGUCUGCUGUGAAAGACCGGGGCUCAACUCCGGUUCUGCAGUGGGUACGGGCAGACUAGAGUGCAGUAGGGGAGAGUGGAAUUCCUGGUGUAGCGGUGAAAUGCGCAGAUAUCAGGAGGAACACCGAUGGCGAAGGCAGGUCUCUGGGCUGUAACUGACGCUGAGGAGCGAAAGCAUGGGGAGCGAACAGG
This 253-nucleotide ribosomal RNA is filed under the name uncultured bacterium. RNAcentral's name for it is "partial 16S ribosomal RNA". It matches the Rfam family "Bacterial small subunit ribosomal RNA", at positions 524 to 776 of the family's 1533-position model. The record is from RNAcentral.